CCUACGGGCGGCUGCAGUGGGGAAUAUUGGACAAUGGGCGAAAGCCUGAUCCAGCCAUGCCGCGUGUGUGAAGAAGGCCUUCGGGUUGUAAAGCACUUUCAGUGGGGAAGAAAGCCUUGGGGCUAAUACCCUCGAGGAAGGACAUCACCCACAGAAGAAGCACCGGCUAACUCCGUGCCAGCAGCCGCGGUAAUACGGAGGGUGCGAGCGUUAAUCGGAAUUACUGGGCGUAAAGCGCGCGUAGGCGGUCUGAUAAGCCGGUUGUGAAAGCCCCGGGCUCAACCUGGGAACGGCAUCCGGAACUGGCAGGCGAAGGUGCAGGGAAGGAAGGUAAAAUUUCCCGGUGUAGCGGUGAAAUGCGUAGAGAUCGGGAGGAAUACCAGUGGCGAAGGCGGCCUUCUGGACUGACACUGACGCUGAGGUGCGAAAGCGUGGGUAGCAAACAGGAUUAGAUACCCGAGUAGUC
RNAcentral lists this ribosomal RNA (466 nucleotides) under Vreelandella stevensii. RNAcentral's name for it is "partial 16S ribosomal RNA". It matches the Rfam family "Bacterial small subunit ribosomal RNA", at positions 338 to 795 of the family's 1533-position model. Lineage: Bacteria; Pseudomonadati; Pseudomonadota; Gammaproteobacteria; Oceanospirillales; Halomonadaceae. The record is from RNAcentral.